RNAcentral lists this non-coding RNA (182 nucleotides) under Candidatus Eiseniibacteriota bacterium. Its description in RNAcentral is "6S RNA". It matches the Rfam family "6S / SsrS RNA". From Rfam's summary of the family: E. coli 6S RNA was the first non coding RNA to be sequenced, but its function was unknown until recently. It consists of 184 nucleotides that fold into an extended hairpin structure with a large single-stranded internal bulge. The 6S RNA specifically associates with RNA polymerase holoenzyme containing the sigma70 specificity factor. Lineage: Bacteria; Candidatus Eiseniibacteriota. The record is from RNAcentral.
GUUUCCCUGCUUUGUUGGCUAUGUCCCAGCUAUUUUGAGCCAACAGUUUUACCUUGGGAACCUGAUCUCCGGCUGUAAUAGCGGUGCCCGUCUUCGGGCGGGAGGUGCUGGACCAGCUGGGAAGGUGCCCACCUGGAGUUUCCAGGAUCAAAUUAGCGGGCAAGCGGCACGGCGGGGAGAAC